CAUGUUGAAACACCAGUUCCUGUACAAUCACAGAAGUUAAGAAAUGUUGGGCCUGGUCAGUAGUUAGGUGGGUGACUGCUUGGUAAUACCAGGUGCU
This is a non-coding RNA of Acanthosepion pharaonis, 97 nucleotides long. NCBI's taxonomy places the organism in Eukaryota, Metazoa, Mollusca, Cephalopoda, Sepiida, Sepiidae. The record is from the annotation of a GenBank genome assembly.